AAAAUCAGAUUUUAUUUGAUAAAUAAUGUAUAGAUGGGCCAAACAGUCAGUUUUUACCCUUGCACCCCCAGAUUUCCCUACAUGCACCCCUCAGUUCUAAACCAGGCCAAUACUGAAGCCCAACAGUAACCCUUUUCUCCUACACCUCCUAAGUUUCCUAUUCCUACCCCUCCUAAACUAGAGUCCAUCAGAUGUUCCCACGUGUCGCCAAUCCACCACACACAGAUUCAGCCAAUGACUUGCUGCCACAUCACCACCCUUGCCACAUCAUCACCAUCUUCCACAGAAGAAACCCUAAUUCCUCUUCCUAACCCUAGCCGCCGCCUCCUCCAUGGCAUCCACCCAGUGACCUUCAGCGACCACCUAGACGUCGGCCACCACAUCGCGCAACCAACCAUGGUUUCGCCGUCAAUCACAGUGCUAUCUCCACCGGUUCAUCUUCUCCAUCAACGCCCAAGACGCCGCCGCAACACCUCCACGGGCCUCGUCAUCGUUUUCGCCUCAACCGUCAUCAUGUACCAUCUCCUCAUGACGCCGCCAACCAACAUCAUCAUCAACCACCACAUGCCGCAAGGUCGCCGUCGCCAUUAGCCACCACAAAUCCUCCAUCCUUGACCAUCAUCGGAACUACAAUUACAAAAACAGCAAGAACCCCAAAACCGGUCAUCACAAGCGUCUCAAUCAGCCACCGUAGCCAACCAACCUCCAUUCGAACCCAUUUAUUUUUGCUUCGCACAACCUGCAAAUCAAAGAAACAACAAGAAAUUAGAAAAAUCCAGAUCGCGUCUCCAUGUUUCGAGCAAGUACAACAUCACGAAGUUUUUCCCAAAUCUGUAGAAUUGCAUUGUAGAGAAGAUGCCCUCUCGAUAGUAGGUCGCGUUUUCUUCGUCUCUCAAAAGCGGCGCAGGCACAACAAAAGAUCACCCCAAUCUGCCAAUUGCAAACCCUAAUUUUGGGUAGAAGGGUGCUACUACGUGUCAGCACAUUAUUGAAUGUGUCAUUCCUCUGGUCAAAGCAGGUCAAUAAGACUCCCUGGUCAAAGUUGGUCAAACAGGGACCUUUUUGCAAUUUUGAAGAGAAGGGAAGGAUUAAAGUGCAGAAAGAGAAACGUUCAGGGUAAUGGUGCAAUUUUGGAAAAUUCAGAAAAGCUAAGAGAUAAAAUUCAGUUGUUGAAUUAAUUUAAUUGGGGAAUAUCAACAGAAA
Molecule: long non-coding RNA, 1203 nt
Filed under: Vigna radiata
Lineage: Eukaryota; Viridiplantae; Streptophyta; Magnoliopsida; Fabales; Fabaceae
Description: long non-coding RNA (VRAD_LNC009828)
Source: RNAcentral